Molecule: long non-coding RNA, 2553 nt
Filed under: Homo sapiens (human)
Lineage: Eukaryota; Metazoa; Chordata; Mammalia; Primates; Hominidae
Description: HSALNT0310899
Source: RNAcentral
CUAGUCCUCGCCGCCACCACCUCGCACAGGUCGGAGAUCCCUCCUUUCCUUGGCUCCUUUGCGUUGGGGAGGGGGUAAGGCUGAGGGUCGGCGCUUGGUCAGCGGGCGGGGAAGGUAGAUUUCACUUGCACCUGAGAGUCCCUAUUCUUGCCAGCUUCGCCGGGCAAAGCCCGGCGACCAGGUUGGUUCUUCCAGCAACUUUGUUCAGAAGGUUGGUAGGGAGGAGAAACGCCAAGGGGCCCCAAGAGACGCUGGAAAGCGGCUAGGAGCGUGGGCCGGGCUGGAGAGCAAGUACCCAAGCGGCCCUGAGGCUGGGAGCGCGGCUGGGAGGCGCCGCCGCCGCCGCCGCCGCCGCCGCCGGGAUGCGCUCUGCUUAGCGGGACUGCCGGGGGCGCCUGAAGGCCAGCGCUCCAAGGACACGCGGCCACCCGCUCCUCGCGCACCCCGGCCCAGACGCCGCCAGGGCCGGAGCCAAGCAGUGAAUGGGAAGAUGGAGAUGGAUGUUGAGGGAGUUUCUCCGCGCCCGGAGCCCAUCCCCCGCUCCCAGGGGGCUGGCGGAGCCUGCCAGGCGCCGCCACAGCCGCCCCAGCCCCAGCCGCCGCCUCAGCAGCUGGCUCAGGAUGAACUGCCCGGCGAGAGUGCAGGCGCUGAGGACAGCGACGAUCCCGAGACGAGACCCAACGGCGAGAAAGGAGAGAGCAAGUAUUUCAGUGACAUCAUCCACUCAGGAGAGUUGGGGCGAGGCUGGCUGAGGUUCUCAAGGAGCUGAGUUUUGAGUUCAGGUGCUCGUGUAGCAGUGGAAUGAUGCCUCCUGACCUUUCAGACCUUUGAGACCUCUGGGCGGUCUUAGAAAUCACUUCAAGCCUCCAGUCCAGGAUACGACUGCCUAGGGGAAUUCCAGGGAAAGGUGGCAGAGAUGCCAUGGACUACAAGGUGAUGAAUACCACUAUGAGCUCACUACAAGAUCUCAAAGAUUUCAAGCCACUGGCUGUUACAAAGCAUAAAGCCACCCUUCUGGAGCAGCGGCGGGAGGCAGGCUGGGAGGAGGCCCCAAGUUUUGGCCAGACGAUAGACCACCUCCUUAGGUGUCCGGGGAGCUGCUGAAACAUAAUGAGGAAGAUGCUGCUGAUCCAAAGGAUAAAAACACAGAAACUAGAACCAAGAAGCACCUAAAGUGGACUCAUGCCCAGCAUCCCUGCAGACUGACUUUCUCUGAGCUAUAGUUCUGCAUUGGACUGUUUUUCCUUUGCUAUCACCUGCCCAACACACAAUCCUGGAUGCUUUUGAUUGGUUGGAUUUCUUUUUUUUUUUUCCUGCCUUUUCUUUUUCUUUCCUUGACCCUGGGAAUUAUAAACGAGAAAUUGCUUUAAAAAGUAUUGUUCUGUGCUAAAAUUAGCCUUGUUUAUGAACAAGUUUUAUCCCUAGGGAUUUCCUGAAUUGCAAUCCCAGAUUACCUUGUAAAUGGGGCUGUGUUGUUUGAUUUGUAUAGUACUGAUCUGUAGGUUAAAAUACGUUUCCUUUCUUUUGUUUCAUUCUUUUUUUAAAAGUCUGGAUCCAGGUAAUGGCCUGAGUCACAUUUGCUUAGCUACUGAAGCGAUCUCAAUAUGUUAUCGCUUAGAGUUGAAACAUAAUCAAACAUACGUUAUACCUGGGGCUCUUGCACACUAUUUGAUAUAUAUAUGUUACUCUACAAAGAAACACAAACCUUGUAUGUUGAAAUGUAAUUCCUGUUUGAUCCUGCAGCUAGAAUGCUAAAGAAAUUGCAAAUAUCAAAAGUGACUUCAAAUACCCUGAAUAUAAGCUAGUCAACAGUAAGUGGAUGGUUCCAGAAUACCAUAUUCUAAGACAAAGCAGGAAUUAGAGAUCAACUGACCUCAUCCAUAAUGUUGCUCAGGUCUGUCUGUGGAUCUGUCCAUUUUGGAGUAAAAAACAAGGCAUGCUUCUGUGAUUGUGUUUAUGAAAACUGUAGUAUUUCAGAUUUAUGUUUUGCAAUUGUGCCUGCCUUGCAAUAAAACACCUUCAGUUGACUCAGCAAUAAGGUCUCUGUCAAUUUCCUGCAAAACUGUGUCCUUAUUGGCUUUCUAAAAAAGUCCAGUGUAGACCUAUCAGUGGUGACCUGCUAGACAUUUCAGCUGGAUCUAGCAUUAUUGCUCUUUCAGAAAUAGCACUAGAGCUGUCCAUUGUCUACACAUGGGGUCAGAGUUGUAUGGUCAGAUUCUCAAUUCUUCAUAUUACCAUCAGCUACAGAAAUCUCUAGUCACAGCCUAACCCUGUUACAUAUAUGUGCUGCCAUCUGCCAUUGUGUUCUAACUCUGGAGUCCCUAUUUAUUUCUGAGAUUUUAGGACAAGACAAAAAUCCUCUGGACCUCAGUGUCCUCAUAUACAAAAUGGGAAUAAUGAUACUUCCUAUGAUUGUGGUGAUAAGUGCCUGUAAAAGGACAUCACAUGGAUGGUACUUUGCACGUUGUAAAUUCAUUGGGAUGUGGCAAUGUUCAAUAAAUGGUGGUUAUUUUAUUUGUUAAUAAAGAAUUGAAUGAAUUUCUAAAUCUCUUA